AUUGAACGCUGGCGGCAUGCCUUACACAUGCAAGUCGAACGGCAGCACGGGAGCAAUCCUGGUGGCGAGUGGCGAACGGGUGAGUAAAGUAUCGGAACGUGCCCAGUCGUGGGGGAUAACGUAGCGAAAGUUACGCUAAUACCGCAUACGAUCUAUGGAUGAAAGCGGGGGAUCGCAAGACCUCGCGCGAUUGGAGCGGCCGAUAUCAGAUUAGGUAGUUGGUGGGGUAAAGGCUCACCAAGCCGACGAUCUGUAGCUGGUCUGAGAGGACGACCAGCCACACUGGGACUGAGACACGGCCCAGACUCCUACGGGAGGCAGCAGUGGGGAAUUUUGGACAAUGGGCGCAAGCCUGAUUCAGCCAUGCCGCGUGCAGGAUGAAGGCCCUCGGGUUGUAAACUGCUUUUGUACAGAACGAAAAGGUUUCUACUAAUACUAGGAGCUCAUGACGGUACUGUAAGAAUAAGCACCGGCUAACUACGUGCCAGCCGCCGCGGUAA
Molecule: ribosomal RNA, 500 nt
Filed under: uncultured bacterium
Lineage: Bacteria
Description: partial 16S ribosomal RNA
Rfam family: Bacterial small subunit ribosomal RNA
Source: RNAcentral